AUCUUUACAUGCAGGGGAGAUAUCAUGAUUAUGAGAGCGAUUUUUCCAGAGUGAUGCUUGUCCAUGGCGUUCUGGAUGUCCUGACCCCAGGGACUUUGCCCAACACGUGAAACUCAACUGUGCAAUUUGUGAUAGUGGAGGACUGCGUUCACAUAAUCUCCUG
RNAcentral lists this small nuclear RNA (163 nucleotides) under Sorex araneus (European shrew). RNAcentral's name for it is "U1 spliceosomal RNA (ENSSARG00000015016.1)". It matches the Rfam family "U1 spliceosomal RNA". From Rfam's summary of the family: U1 is a small nuclear RNA (snRNA) component of the spliceosome (involved in pre-mRNA splicing). Its 5' end forms complementary base pairs with the 5' splice junction, thus defining the 5' donor site of an intron. There are significant differences in sequence and secondary structure between metazoan and yeast U1 snRNAs, the latter being much longer (568 nucleotides as compared to 164 nucleotides in human). Lineage: Eukaryota; Metazoa; Chordata; Mammalia; Eulipotyphla; Soricidae. The record is from RNAcentral.